Molecule: long non-coding RNA, 681 nt
Filed under: Pogona vitticeps (central bearded dragon)
Lineage: Eukaryota; Metazoa; Chordata; Lepidosauria; Squamata; Agamidae
Description: lncRNA (ENSPVIG00000007715.1)
Source: RNAcentral
AUGGCCGGAGUGGACUGUAUCCUGAAACUCGGAGGGAGCGCCUUGACGCAGAAGGACCAGCUGGAGACGCUGAAGGGGGCGUCGCUGCGGAAGGCGGCGGCCAUUGUCGCUCAGCUCCGCGGGGCCGGAGAGAAGCGCUGCAUUGUCGUGCACGGAGCAGGCUCCUUUGGACAUUUCCAAGCAAAGGAACAUGAUGUAUGCUCAGGAACCUCAAAAGGAUCAGCUGUGAGUGAGAGUUUGAGACGGGGACUGUGCUUGACCAGGCUUUCUGUCACCAAGUUGAACCAUCUGGUGACUGAAGAAUUUGUAAGCUGUGGAAUUCCAGCAGUGGGCAUUUCGGUUCUAGCUAUGAAAUUCUCUCCUAAGCGAGUUAUUUUUCUCACAGAUGUGAGUGGAAUUUAUAGCUGUCCACCCGGCACUGCAGGUGCUAGGCUUGUGGAUUUCAUUACUGUUCGCCCGGAUGGAACUAUGGAUCCAGCCGUACUCACAUCUGUGCGGCCACAUGAUACUACUGGAGGUGUAUCCUUGAAAUUACAAACUGCUGUAAAUAUAGUUUCUCAUAGCCGUGGAGCCAUUCCUGUUCUGAUCUGCAAACUGGACAGUGAAGCAGCAGAGAAGGCUUGCUUAACCGGAGAACUGAAGGAGGAUGAAGGCACAAAGUUUUCUUUCAUAGAAGCAUAA